CAUCGGAAUCUACCUUUUCGUGGGGGAUAACGUAGGGAAACUUACGCUAAUACCGCAUACGACCUUCGGGUGAAAGCAGGGGACCUUCGGGCCUUGCGCGGAUAGAUGAGCCGAUGUCGGAUUAGCUAGUUGGCGGGGUAAAGGCUCACCAAGGCGACGAUCCGUAGCUGGUCUGAGAGGAUGAUCAGCCACACUGGAACUGAGACACGGUCCAGACUCCUACGGGAGGCAGCAGUGGGGAAUAUUGGACAAUGGGCGCAAGCCUGAUCCAGCCAUACCGCGUGGGUGAAGAAGGCCUUCGGGUUGUAAAGCCCUUUUGUUGGGAAAGAAAAGCAAUCGGUUAAUACCCGGUUGUUCUGACGGUACCCAAAGAAUAAGCACCGGCUAACUUCGUGCCAGCAGCCGCGGUAAUACGAAGGGUGCAAGCGUUACUCGGAAUUACUGGGCGUAAAGCGUGCGUAGGUGGUUGUUUAAGUCUGUUGUGAAAGCCCUGGGCUCAACCUGGGAAUUGCAGUGGAUACUGGGCGACUAGAGUGUGGUAGAGGGUAGUGGAAUUCCCGGUGUAGCAGUGAAAUGCGUAGAGAUCGGGAG
This 591-nucleotide ribosomal RNA is filed under the name Stenotrophomonas sp. CRM-Slr-46. Its description in RNAcentral is "bacterial SSU rRNA". It matches the Rfam family "Bacterial small subunit ribosomal RNA", at positions 116 to 703 of the family's 1533-position model. The record is from RNAcentral. Lineage: Bacteria; Pseudomonadati; Pseudomonadota; Gammaproteobacteria; Lysobacterales; Lysobacteraceae.